CCCUUAGAUGUCCGGGGCUGCACGCGCGCUACACUGAAGGAAUCAGCGUGCUAAAACCAUUGUCGAAAGGCAUUGGUAAACCCAUUAAAAUCCUACGUGAUUGGGAUCGGGAAUUGCAAUUAUUUCCCUUGAACGAGGAAUUCCCAGUAAGUGUGGGUCAUAAGCUCGCGUUGAUUACGUCCCUGCCCUUUGUACACACCGCCCGUCGCUGCCCGGGACUGAGCCGGUUCGAGAAAAGCGGGGACUGCUGCUGUCGGGGCUUUCGGGCCUUGGCUUCGGUGGAAACCGCUUUAAUCGCAGUGGCUUGAACCGGGCAAAAGUCGUAACA
Molecule: ribosomal RNA, 328 nt
Filed under: uncultured eukaryote
Lineage: Eukaryota
Description: partial 18S ribosomal RNA
Rfam family: Eukaryotic small subunit ribosomal RNA
Source: RNAcentral